UACGUAGGGUGCAAGCGUUAAUCGGAAUUACUGGGCGUAAAGCGUGCGCAGGCGGUUUUGUAAGUCUGUCGUGAAAGCCCCGGGCUCAACCUGGGAAUUGCGAUGGAGACUGCAAGGCUUGAAUCUGGCAGAGGGGGGUAGAAUUCCACGUGUAGCAGUGAAAUGCGUAGAGAUGUGGAGGAACACCGAUGGCGAAGGCAG
This 201-nucleotide ribosomal RNA is filed under the name uncultured bacterium. RNAcentral describes it as "partial 16S ribosomal RNA". It matches the Rfam family "Bacterial small subunit ribosomal RNA", at positions 524 to 724 of the family's 1533-position model. The record is from RNAcentral.